CUCUCUGUCCAUGGUGACGAACUGCGAGAUCUGGGCAUGAUCUGCUCCAUGGUCCGCUCCAUGGGUGUGAUCCACUACCUUUUGAUGAGGACGAAUAACGCACGGUGACCGGAGGCGGCUCCACGGCGUUCCUAUGUCCACCCAUCUCCUCCGCUUUAGAGAUUGCGAAGGCGGCGACAGCUAUGGCGCCGGAGGGACGACCUGGAGGUGCAGGCUACUCCCCUAUCUUCUGUCAUGCGGUGGUGAGCCGGAGGCGGCGCGGGCGGGGCAAUGGUCCUGCCCGAGCUCUCCAGGGACAACGGCCUUCUCCGGUGUCCCUCUCCAUGGCGGUUGUUCUUCUCGCUGGUGAUAUCUCCUUCAUCCUCUUAUUUCCUUCUUCUCCUCCAUGAAUUUCUAAAUUUCUAGGGUUAGGGUUCUUUGUUUUUGGGAGCGGUGCAGGAGAAGGGAGUGAUGCUGAGUUUGGCACCCUGCCAUGGAAUCAAUUCAGGCGCUGAUGGAGCUCAUACAGAAGAAGAAGAUGAGCUCAAGUCUGCGGAUGAGGAAUCAUGUUAGAGUAUCUUCUUUGUUCUAGCCAAAGGGCAAGAGUUAAAUUUUGUUGGAGGGUGCUUAAUCAGCCAUUCCCUUUCUUAGUGGAGGUUCCUUAUUUUAAUAAGGUAAGAACUCCUAUUCCAUUGUGCUUAAGGCUAAUGAUGAAUGAUUGUAUAAUAGCUAGUUUUCUUAUGUGGGUGCUUGGAAACAUUACGUUGGUGGGCACUGAGCCACUGGACCCUCACCCGGCCUGUCAACAUUCACGGAAGUUGCAAAUUCGGGGAGGGACGUGGCCUGACUUGAUGGCGAACGAGGACGCUACGGGUGGAGAUACUUGGUCAUUAAUUAAGCAAGAUUAAGAAUCUUGGCGUCGCUCUACUCUGGAUUUUUGCACCCAGUGAAAAGAUAGAAAACAUCAAUGAUCAAUACUGGACACUACGUGCAGAGGAGGUAUGUGAUGAUAUGCCAUGCUUUACAGUAUUUACAAACAAAACUACGUACAAAACUUAAUUUCCUGAUCCCGCAGGAAGGUUUAUCUAGGCUUUAGUUUGAUCCUACACAGGGUCCUGAUUAUCAUUGCCUUUUUUGGGUCCCUUGAUAGGCAGUGCCGACGACUGUACUAUUUGUCCCACAUGACAAGAUAUGAGCCUGACCCAUAGUAAUCUUUUUUUCCUCAGAAAUUAGUACAAUUAUCUUGCAGAAU
Long non-coding RNA from Hordeum vulgare subsp. vulgare (domesticated barley), 1231 nucleotides. RefSeq lists it as uncharacterized. The record is from RefSeq and is a predicted model, not a curated record. NCBI's taxonomy places the organism in Eukaryota, Viridiplantae, Streptophyta, Magnoliopsida, Poales, Poaceae. The transcript is spliced from 4 exons.